RNAcentral lists this transfer RNA (75 nucleotides) under Candidatus Dormiibacterota bacterium. RNAcentral's name for it is "tRNA-Gln". It matches the Rfam family "tRNA". From Rfam's summary of the family: Transfer RNA (tRNA) molecules are approximately 80 nucleotides in length. Their secondary structure includes four short double-helical elements and three loops (D, anti-codon, and T loops). Lineage: Bacteria; Bacillati; Candidatus Dormiibacterota. RNAcentral also lists the same sequence under 1 other name. The record is from RNAcentral.
UGGGGCGUGGCCAAGCGGUAAGGCGCCUGACUCUGGAUCAGGUAAUCAAAGGUUCGAAUCCUUUCGCCCCAGCCA